Molecule: long non-coding RNA, 3747 nt
Organism: Quercus lobata
Lineage: Eukaryota; Viridiplantae; Streptophyta; Magnoliopsida; Fagales; Fagaceae
Exons: 2
Source: RefSeq, a predicted model, not a curated record
CAAUUAUUUCUUGGGUCAAAGCACUGACCCAAUUAGACCCAGUAAACUUAUAUAAUAACUGGGCUUUUAACUAAAAACCUAAUAAACCCAAUUAACCCAAAAAUAAUAAGCCCAAUCUCUCUGAGCCUCUCGACUCUCUCUACCUCUUCGUUUCUAUCUUCAUGAAUUUGGGGAUUAGGGUUUCCAAACUCAAAUUAGGCAUUUCUCACUGAUUUCAUUAAUGAUUUUCACCCAAAAUCACCAAUUCUCACAAUCUGUUGCAGCAUCCUCUCUCUCUCUCUCUCUCGCUCUAUAUAUAUAUAUAUAUAUAUAUUUUUUUUUUUUGCUUUUGUAUCAUUGUGGAUGGCAUUUUCAUUUCCCAUGUAUUUGUUUCUUCCUUUACUAUUCAUCUUUGGUCUCUCUAUCACAAUGUGCUGUUUGGUUGGUGAGAAUUUUUAGUCUCUCUUUUCAGGAGGUUAUAAAAAUUCAUGCAGUUGGAUCUAGUAUGUAGAUACAAGUUGAUGUUAUGAUAAUUUUGGUUUUUGAAUCUUUCUUGUUAGAACAUUACAAAUUUGUUGCGCUUGUGUGACAAUUUUUAACUACUUUUUAGAGCUUAUAAAUUGCUUUAUAGUUUUUUAUCCAAUACUAUGUAUUGUUUAAUUUAUACUAUGGUGUUGCAUUGGUGCUUAAUAUAUAUGUUGAUGCAAAGAAACAAGGUUAGGACUUGAGACAGUAAUCGUACCUCACAACGAUGUACUUUAUUAGUGGGACGGACAUUGGGCAAUCGCAUUAUGCUUAAGGAUAGAAGAAAUUUUUCUUUGCAUUCUUUUUUGAGAUAUUAGAUGAACUUUUGACAAUCUAAAGAAAUACUAUAAUUUCAAUUGCUAAAAAAGAGAAACGCAUACACUGUAUAUGUUCAUUUAUCUAUUAGUCAAUAUUUCAUGGCAUAUCUUGAAAUAAUUAUUUUCACUCAUGAAACAAUAAAUUUUGAAGUUCAUGUCCUAUUUUUAUGUUAAUGUUUUGUUUUUUUGUGACAGAAAUCCACCAACAAAAUUGCUGGUGGUUUUAGAGAAACUCACAACAUACUCCUUUUGAUAAGUUCAAGAUUCUAAAGCUUUCCUAGGUAAUCCCUUUUACAUGUUUGAAUAUCUCAACUCUAAAGGAGGCCUAAGUGUAGCAUAAAGAUGUGGAGUUGUUAAACUCCAUUGGUCACCACCAUGAUUAUACCAAGGAGUGUUUAGGAAGUUUCCUAAGGUCCUCUUAAGCACCUAGGCAGUGCACCAUCAGAAAUAGAGAGAGCUGAACUAAUCAACAUGUGAACACCUUGAUUUCCAUUAAGCCAAAUUCCUUUGUCUUCUUUGCACUGAAUCAAAAACAGAAUAAUGCAAAAACUUUUUCUUUAAUAAGCAUUCAUUUUGCAAUAAUGCAUUUCUUUUCAGCGUAUAUGUAUCAUGUUGGUUGAUUUAUAUGUAAAUUUGUUAUUUUUGAAGUUGGUGAUUUUAAAUAUUUGAUGCGUUUAAGUUCGUUAUAAUGUCACUAUGUCAGGUUUACAUGCUCAAGGAGAGGAAUAAGUGCUAUGGUACAAUCAAGUUUAUUGAUAUAAGUUCUGAUGAUUAUUCUCUAGAGGAGAAUCAAGGCCUAAACUACAACUUUGUAUGUUCUAAACAGUACUGAAAUUUUCAGUAGACACAAUUUGCUGGUUUAAGAGGGUUUGGUUAGGGCUGUAAGAUAAGAAAUAGAAAAUGAAGUAUGUAUGAAAGCAACACUACCUGGUAGUCAUUUCAAUAUGAUUUCAGAGACUAAUAUGUUACUGUCACAAUUUGCUGGUUUAAGAGGGUUUGGUAGGAGCUAUAAGAUAAGAAGUAGAAAAUGAAUUAUAUGUGAUAGUAACACUACCUCUUGGUCGUAUCCAAUAUGACUUCACUGACUAAUAUUACUUUUUUUGGUGGCUUUUAUGGAUCAUAAGAAAUUUUCUGAAAAAUCCAGCAUGAAACCUUGUAGCUGCAUGGUUUGGCCAUAGGAAAGUAAAUGAUAACUUUGUAGAAUACAAUGUAGAGCAUAUUAACUUUGUGGUAUGUAUACAUAGAUUUUAGAGCACCUCUUUUGUCAGAUUUAUUACAAUACAGUGAUGAAGUCUGUUUAUUGUUUAGGUUAUGGGAAGGAUUCGCUCAAUCCUCUGAUGGAACUGUUGUCACUGGUGUUGAAGUUCGCCCCAUUUCCUACUCUUUUUCCCCAUAUAAUUAUACAUUAAUUGUGCUAGCACUUCUUAUUUUACUUUUCUUUCCAAAUUUCCACCAAGUCUGAGUUCACUAUCUUGAAUUAAUCAAGUCUAAUUUCUUUGUGUUGAGAGGAUUAUCAAGUCUAAUUUCCAUCACGUGUGCAUGUCACCUAUGCUAUGUGAAUAUGUACUAAUUUGUGUUUCGGUGGUCCAACCCGUGAAAGUUAUAGGAUAAAUGGGGGAAAGAAAACCCCCACCAAUAGAUUGUGGCUAUUCCAUGACUGGAAUCAAUUAGUACAAGUUCAAGAUUGUAAACCUUGAACUUUAAUGUGUUCUAGACAAUCACUAAUUGUUCGAAUAUCUAAACUCUCAAGGAGGCCUAAAUGCAGCAUAAUGAUGUGGAACUAUGAAGUGCCAAUGAUCACCACCAUGAUUCUAUCAUUCUAUUAAUGCUUGCAUAGGAAGCUUACUGAGGUCCUCUUAUAGGCACAUGGGGAAUGAUAUUUCUCACUAAGCCAAUUUCCUUAUCCGUCGCCUUUCCAAUGAUUAAACAACUUUGUCAAUAGUAAAUACAAUGGUGUGGGACACAUUUGGGAUUCUUUAGAUGUAGAAUCUGUUUGAAGAAGCUGGCUAAAGAACUCUGAUAAGACUUUUCUUUCAGUUGUAUUAUCUGAGAUUCAUUUUAACCAAGAAAAAAGAAUUUAAAUGACAACUUUUGCAGGCAGUUAGAAGACUAAACAAGUUGGCCUUGGAUGGGUUUAUGCCAUUACCAAAUAUGAACCUGAAAGUUUCUUUGUUCUUCCAAAUUUUACCCGUAGUUCAAUCAAAAUGCUACCAUCUUGCAGACGAAUAGUGUUUUGGAUAAUGCUCCCUUGUCCUUUUCUCAUUAUUUGUACUUAAUAUAACAAUAUGCAUUUAACAGAUUGCAACAAUAACAGAUGUCAUAUAUGGUGUUUGGGCUAAAUACCAUCUUCAAUAACAGGCCAACAACCUUUAGAAGAACACGGAUUACCAUAUUUGAGGUAUAUGGUGCUGAUUCAUGUUGGACGUUCUGUUUUCAUUACAGGAUGAAGUAUGUAAUGACAGAAAUUCAUAUAAGAUGUGAACUUUCUCAAUAAUUGCCAGAAGUCCUAGCUUUCCAGGCUCGCUCUUCAUUUGCUUACAUAUAUGAUCUUCAAAAUUGAGCUCGAUUUGAGCUCAUAGCUAGAACUUGUAACAAGAUGAAGAGUUAUGGCAGUCCACAUACAUUUUUCAAUUAAUUUUAAUCAUCUAAUAGUCUAGCAAGUUGAUGCUCUUAUAAUGCAUAAUGAUGUGAUAAUUGACUUUUGUUGGAUGGGAAAAUGAAGAUAACCAAGCAAGCUCACUUUGGAAUUAGUUUAUCAAAGCUUUUGCUUAUCAUUCCAAGCCAAUAUCCACUUUGAAGUCCAACGGUUGAUAAGGAUUGAAGAGAUGAGUCUAGAGAGGUCUAGACGUUCAUGGGAAUUAGUUUCUGUUUGUAUAUAAGGUUUGACAAUUUGAUUGAUUCUCAAACUUUAUAAGAGUUUCUCAAA